This 676-nucleotide ribosomal RNA is filed under the name uncultured Staphylococcus sp. RNAcentral describes it as "bacterial SSU rRNA". It matches the Rfam family "Bacterial small subunit ribosomal RNA", at positions 61 to 719 of the family's 1533-position model. The record is from RNAcentral. Lineage: Bacteria; Bacillati; Bacillota; Bacilli; Caryophanales; Staphylococcaceae.
GUCGAGCGAACGGACGAGAAGCUUGCUUCUCUGAUGUUAGCGGCGGACGGGUGAGUAACACGUGGAUAACCUACCUAUAAGACUGGGAUAACUUCGGGAAACCGGAGCUAAUACCGGAUAAUAUUUUGAAUCGCAUGGUUCAAAAGUGAAAGACGGUCUUGCUGUCACUUAUAGAUGGAUCCGCGCUGCAUUAGCUAGUUGGUAAGGUAACGGCUUACCAAGGCAACGAUGCAUAGCCGACCUGAGAGGGUGAUCGGCCACACUGGAACUGAGACACGGUCCAGACUCCUACGGGAGGCAACAGUAGGGAAUCUUCCGCAAUGGGCGAAAGCCUGACGGAGCAACGCCGCGUGAGUGAUGAAGGUCUUUGGAUCGUAAAACUCUGUUAUUAGGGAAGAACAUAUGUGUAAGUAACUGUGCACAUCUUGACGGUACCUAAUCAGAAAGCCACGGCUAACUACGUGCCAGCAGCCGCGGUAAUACGUAGGUGGCAAGCGUUAUCCGGAAUUAUUGGGCGUAAAGCGCGCGUAGGCGGUUUUUUAAGUCUGAUGUGAAAGCCCACGGCUCAACCGUGGAGGGUCAUUGGAAACUGGAAAACUUGAGUGCAGAAGAGGAAAGUGGAAUUCCAUGUGUAGCGGUGAAAUGCGCAGAGAUAUGGAGGAACACCAGUGGCGAA